This is a long non-coding RNA of Amblyraja radiata (thorny skate), 335 nucleotides long. RefSeq lists it as uncharacterized. Lineage: Eukaryota; Metazoa; Chordata; Chondrichthyes; Rajiformes; Rajidae. The record is from RefSeq and is a predicted model, not a curated record. The transcript has 3 exons.
AACUCUUAAAGUUGCAGCAACAGAUGGAUCAAAACGACAGUGUGGUGUUUCUGAAGGAGGAAGCUGGUCGCAAGCGAAAGUAGGACAUUGUCUUGAUGGAAACAUUGUAAGUUUUUGUGGAACUCAAAACAUUUCUACUGCUUAGUUUAUAACCAGCUGUUAAAUAUUUCCAGGGUUUGUGAUGAAGCCAAACUACUGUCGGUGGUAGAUGAUGCCUUGCAGAUUGAAAAGUUUAAUUGCCCUGUUUUCUUGAACACGACAUUCAAGCAAGUCUCCGUCACCCUGGAUGUGGAAACAGCGCAUCCGUGGCUUGAGGUGUCCGAGGAUCGGAAGAG